This is a non-coding RNA of Bos taurus (domestic cattle), 72 nucleotides long. The record is from Rfam. NCBI's taxonomy places the organism in Eukaryota, Metazoa, Chordata, Mammalia, Artiodactyla, Bovidae.
UCCCUGGUGGCUCAGAUGGUAAAGCAUCUGCCUGCAAUGCACGAGACCCGGGUUCAAUCCCUGAGUUGGGAA